RNAcentral lists this ribosomal RNA (1747 nucleotides) under human gut metagenome. Its description in RNAcentral is "bacterial LSU rRNA". It matches the Rfam family "Bacterial large subunit ribosomal RNA", at positions 1076 to 2841 of the family's 2925-position model. The record is from RNAcentral.
UGGAAUUGCACAGACAACCAGGAUGUUGGCUUAGAAGCAGCCACUCAUUUAAAGAGUGCGUAAUAGCUCACUGGUCGAGUGAUUCUGCGCCGAAAAUUUCCGGGGCUAAAACUUACUACCGAAGCUACGGCAUCAUUAUGAUGGGUAGGGGAGCUUUCUAUGCGGCUUGAAGCAUGACCGUAAGGACAUGUGGACUGCAUAGAAGUGAGAAUGUUGGCAUGAGUAGCGAGAUGUGGGUGAGAAUCCCACAGGCCGUAAACCCAAGGUUUCCAGGGGAAGGUUCGUCCGCCCUGGGUUAGUCAGGACCUAAGCCGAGGCCGAAAGGCGUAGGUGAUGGACAACAGGUUGAUAUUCCUGUACCACCAAUAACCGUUUGAGAAAUGGGAUGACACAGUAGGAUAAGCUAACCGCACUGUUGGUUAUGUGCGGGCAAGUAUUGAGGCAGUUCCGAUAGGCAAAUCCGUCGGAAUAAUGCUGGGGUACGAUGCGGAGCGAAAUUAAGUAGCGAAGUAGCUGAUUUCACACUGUCGAGAAAAGUCUCUAUCGAGGUUAAAGGUGCCUGUACCGCAAACCGACACAGGUGGGUGAGGAGAGUAUCCUAAGGCCAGCGAGAGAACUGUUGUUAAGGAACUCGGCAAAAUGACCCCGUAACUUCGGGAGAAGGGGUGCCUUCGAAAGAAGGCCGCAGAGAAUAGGCCCAAGCGACUGUUUACCAAAAACAUAGGUUUCUGCUAAGUCGCAAGACGAUGUAUAGGAGCUGACGCCUGCCCGGUGCUGGAAGGUUAAGGGGAUCUGUUAGAGCAAUCGAAGCAGUGAACUUAAGCCCCAGUAAACGGCGGCCGUAACUAUAACGGUCCUAAGGUAGCGAAAUUCCUUGUCGGGUAAGUUCCGACCCGCACGAAAGGCGUAACGAUUUGGGCACUGUCUCAACAACAGACUCGGUGAAAUUGUAAUACCGGUGAAGAUGCCGGUUACCUGCGACAGGACGGAAAGACCCCAUGGAGCUUUACUGUAGCUUGACAUUGAGUCUCGGUGCUACAUGUACAGGAUAGGUGGGAGACUAUGAAGCAUGGACGUCAGUCUGUGUGGAGUCAUCCUUGGGAUACCACCCUUGUAGUACUGGGAUUCUAACCAGAGGCCAUGAAUCUGGUCUUGGGACACUGUCAGGUGGACAGUUUGACUGGGGCGGUCGCCUCCCAAAAAGUAACGGAGGCGCUCAAAGGUUCUCUCAGUACGGUCGGAAAUCGUACGAAGAGUGUAAAGGCAAAAGAGAGCUUGAUUGCAAGACAUACAGGUCGAGCAAGGACGAAAGUCGGACUUAGUGAUCCGGUGGUUCCGCAUGGAAGGGCCAUCGCUCAACGGAUAAAAGCUACCCUGGGGAUAACAGGCUGAUCUCCCCCAAGCGUCCACAGCGACGGGGAGGUUUGGCACCUCGAUGUCGGCUCGUCACAUCCUGGGGCUGAAUUCGGUCCCAAGGGUUCGGCUGUUCGCCGAUUAAAGUGGCACGCGAGCUGGGUUCAGAACGUCGUGAGACAGUUCGGUCCCUAUCUGUUGCGGGCGCAGGAAUAUUGAGAGGAGCUGUCCUUAGUACGAGAGGACCGGGAUGGACGUACCGCUGGUGCACCAGUUGUUCUGCCAAGGGCAUAGCUGGGUAGCUAAGUACGGACGAGAUAAACGCUGAAGGCAUCUAAGCGUGAAACUCCCCUCGAGAUAAGUGUUCCCAUCCUUCGGGAGUAAGGCCCCUUGU